CAGCCUUCCUCCUGAUUGCUGCAGUAUUGGGAUGGGGGAAGGGUGCUUUGGUCUUCCCUUACCAGAUCACUGGUGACAGCAGUUCAUCCCAGGCAGCUAACUGCUCCAUGCUGCAAGUGACCCUUUUGUCUGUUCCAGGAUUAAAAAACAGCAAACGACAACAACAAAUCCAAAACGAUGACAACUGUAACUAUGCUUAAUUAUUCCAUCCUCUUUUAAACAAUUGAUGUAAUAGAAAACCUAGAUUUGAGUUUCUGUUCCUCCAGUCCCUGGCCGUGUGACUUUGGCUAAGUGGCCUCCUCUCUCCCAGCCUCUGCUUCUCCUGCAGUCAAGCAGGGAGGUUAAUGGAUGUCUUAUAAGGCCAGCUGUGGACCUGCCUUAGCGAAUUUGGCCUCAUAGUACAAGUUGGUCUCUGCAGCGAAGACUGCUAAGAGAUUGUGAGCAGGGAUCUUGAACUUUUAUUUACCACUGUGUGCCCAAAGCCUAGCAUGAUGGAAAGUACAUAGU
RNAcentral lists this long non-coding RNA (507 nucleotides) under Sus scrofa (pig). The record is from RNAcentral. Lineage: Eukaryota; Metazoa; Chordata; Mammalia; Artiodactyla; Suidae.